ACAGAUUAAGUUUUGUCUGAAUGUGACAUGAUUUGUAAAAGUUGAAAAAAUGGCAGAAGGGCUGUGGUGUUGACACGUUGCAAACAUACCUCCAACAAUGAGCUCCAAUGUUAUAAGUAUAGAUUUCAAAAUAUUAUAAUUAUAUAUUUCAAAAACAGCGCUGAGAAGCAAAGCCAAAAGCAAAUAAGAGAGUAUUUGUAUCCAAAAAAUGGUGAACCACGUCUCAAACUAUUCUCCUUUAUUCAUCAUCUUGGUUUUGCUUGUCAAAGGUAAGUCUCUUGUUUUACAUUGUGAUGCUAUUUAAACUACAAAUAAAAUGAAACUCAAUAAUAUAUUUUGCUUCAUUUUUUUCUGUGUUUUAUAUUUUGGAGCAUAGGUCAAAUAGAAGUGCAAGGAGAUUUAUGUGUAAAAGCUUUGAAUUAUUGUGAAACCCAAGAUGAUUGUAAACUAAAGUGUAUAGCCCCGCGCAAGGAUGGGUUUGCGUAUUGCGAUAACACACACACGUGUUCCUGUUUUUUCUAUUGUAAGCGAGACUCAAGUCGAACUACGUGUUCCUGUUCAUGAAUAUGCGCCUACUACAAUUCAAAUUUGCAAGCCAAUUUAAUUAGUUUCCUCUUUGGUUCAAGUAUCAACUUAUAUACUUGCAAUUCAAUAAUUUGACUGUUGAAUUUUAUGGCAUAUUCUAUAUCUAAUUUCUCCCUCAUAGAUUGCGUAUCGAUACACUUGUGGGGUAAAUGUUUCAUUAAAUAAAAAAUAAAUAUAAGAAUAUAUAAAUACACACAAAUCCUUGUUUCGAAGUUUGAAAUAUUACAGUAAUUACCUAUUGUAUUAAUUACCAUAUAUAUAUAUAAUGGUUUUUAGAAUUAAAUUCAUGCAUGUAAUAUUCUAAUUUUGGCUCUGUGUGUAUCAGAUAUAUAUAUAUACCUCAAUGAUAAGUAUUAUGUGUUAUGUGAAUCUAUGAUGAUUGUUUAAAAAUAUUGAAGAAAAAUAAAUAAUGGAGUAAAUUACACUUCUUUCUCUUAAGAGAUGUUAAAAUUAUAUCGUAUUUUUUAUGUUUUUUUUUUUUUGGAAAAGAUGAAUUAAGAAUUAAAAUAAGAUAAGACAUUCUAACUAGAUCGACACAAUUUACUUCUUAUGUUUAAAUAUACAGUUUAGUUCAUUUAAUUUAUCACUCUUAAAGUCAAUUACUUUCUCCUCUCUUAAGAGAUACGCAUAUUUUAGUGUCCUUCCCUCUUAUGUUAAAAUAUAGAAUAAAUUACAUAUCACUUCCUUAGUGAUUUUCGUAUUACAUUCUCCUUUCCUCUUACGUUAAAAUACACUCUAUUUAACUUAAAAUCUCUAAACAAUAUUUAUUAUAAGAUUUAAAAAAAUAAUGAUAAAUAUUUUUAAUUUACUAAAUUAUCAUUUACUCACUCAAUACAUGUUCUUAAAAAAUAUAUAAUUAAGUUUAAAAUAAUUUAUUAUAUUGAUAAUUGAUAAUUAAAAAUAAAAUUUAUAAGAUAUAUUAUACACGUAUAUAUAUAUAUAUGUCAAUUUGUAUGUAUUAUAAAAAAUUUUAAUAAUUAUAUUUUAUUUCACAAUAGAUUUUUAAUAUAAAUAAUAUUAUUUUUACAGUUACAUUUAAUAUAUACAUAUGCAUUAUAUUAAUACAUAUAAUGUAUAGUACUACGUACUAUUAAAAUUAAUCAUAUGUUUAUAAUUAAUGUUAUGUAUGAAACAUAUAAUUUUUAUUUAAAUAUUUAUAAAAAUAUUCCAUUAACAAAAUCAAUUAAAUACUAACUUAAUACUUGUGUUUAAUUUUAUUAUUUUAAAAUAUGUUUUGUGAAAAUAAUAAUUAAAGAUGAAAUUAGUAGAUGAAUAAUAAUAAUAAUAAUAAUAAUAAUAAUAAUAAUAAUAAUAAUAAUAAUAAUAAUAAUAUAUACAAUUGAAUAAAACAUUUAAAAAAAAAUUUAAAUAAUAAUAAUAAAUUCAAAUGAGAUUUAGACACAACCAAUAUCAUAUUGUUACAAAAAAAUAUUUUGUAACAUCCUAUUACAUUAGUUACUUGUGGCUUUGAUGGAACCCUAAUUUGUAUAUUUAAUUUUUGGUAUCAUCAAACUAGAAAACCUAGCUGGGACUCUUUGAAUUGGGGAAAAUAAAAAAAAAGCAUAAUUAGAAAAUGAGAUAGAAAGAACAACGUCACAAUCUUGAAAGAUUGAUAAGUUGAGGAUAAUUCGUUAUAAAGAAUAGAACUCUUAGAUACAAGAACCAAUAGAGAUACUCUCUUUGAUACAUUUUAUUCUUCUCUUUGGAUAACUGCAUACCUUGUGAAAGACAAGUGAUGAGUGCAUUUUACUUCAUUCUCUUAUCAUGCAAUCAGUAACUUUUGUUGCAUACACCUUUGUACAUAGUCAUUGCAUGUUAUUGUCACUUGAGGACAAGUGAGAUGUUCUCUUUUUGCUUGAGGACAAACAAAACUGUAAAUUUGGGGGAGUUGUUAGUCGAUGAAUACGACUAACUUUUGAGUAUAAAACCUGUGUAAAGUGUAUCAAACUUCCCCAAUUUAUGGUUAUUUUGUAAUGUUAUAAGUAUUUUUUGUUAAGUAUAGGUAAUAAAUACUUAGUACUUCCAUUUUGUGUGUUUAAUAAUCAUUUUCUCUCAAUUUCAGGUUAAUUAGGCAAGCUUUGAAAAGUGCUAUUUUCCACCUUCUCGCUAAGCCAAUCUGCAGGCUUAGUAAGCAUCCGCUAAGCGCAUCACUCAUGGGCUAAGCGUGAGGAAGACUCUGGAAGAAGAUGAGUUGUACAGGUUCACUAAGCGCACCGCUUCAGUUCAUCCGCUAAGCGAGAAAGGCAUGUGCUAAGCCAAAAUUCACUAAUAUACGCUAAGUGGUCCAUAAUUGCGCUAAGCGCACGAGCACGAACAAGGCCACCUAUUUAAGCCUGAAAUCAGAUUUUAGAGCGGGAGUUUGGACUGGGAUUCGGAGCUUUACAUGUCUAGAGAUUCUAGAGAGAGAAAGGUCCAAGUUCUAGAGAGUUUUGAG
This 3019-nucleotide long non-coding RNA is filed under the name Glycine max (soybean). RNAcentral describes it as "long non-coding RNA (GMAX_LNC002683)". Lineage: Eukaryota; Viridiplantae; Streptophyta; Magnoliopsida; Fabales; Fabaceae. The record is from RNAcentral.